AUUGAACGCUGGCGGCGUGCCUAACACAUGCAAGUCGAGCGGUAACAGGUGUAGCAAUACAUGCUGACGAGCGGCGAACGGGUGAGUAAUGCUUCGGAAUCUACCCAAUGGUGGGGAAUAACCAGCCGAAAGGUUGGCUAAUACCGCAUACGUCCCACGGGAGAAAGCAGGGGAUCGCAAGACCUUGCGCCAAUGGAUGAGCCGAAGUCGGAUUAGCUAGUUGGAGGGUAACGGCCUACCAAGGCGACGAUCCGUAGCUGGUCUGAGAGGACGACCAGCCACACUGGGACUGAGACACGGCCCAGACUCCUACGGGAGGCAGCAGUGGGGAAUAUUGGACAAUGGGGGAAACCCUGAUCCAGCGACGCCGCGUGUGUGAAGAAGGCCU
RNAcentral lists this ribosomal RNA (388 nucleotides) under uncultured bacterium. Its description in RNAcentral is "bacterial SSU rRNA". It matches the Rfam family "Bacterial small subunit ribosomal RNA", at positions 29 to 417 of the family's 1533-position model. The record is from RNAcentral.